AGGUGUUGCAUGGCUGUCGUCAGCUCGUGCCGUUGAGGGUGUUACGGUUAAGUCCUGUAACGAGCGCAACCCUUAUCAUUAGUUGCUACGCAAGGGCACUCUAAUGGAGACUGCCGGUGACAACCGGAGGAAGGUGGGGAUGACGUCAAGUCCUCAUGGCCCUUAUGGUAGGGCUUCACACGUCAUACAAUGGUCGGUACAGAGGGUUGCCAAGCCGCGAGGUGGAGCCAAUCCCAGAAAGCCGAUCGUAGUCCGGAUUGUUCUCUGCAACUCGAGAGCAUGAAGUCGGAAUCGCUAGUAAUCGCGGAUCAGCAUGUCGCGGUGAAUACGUUCCCGGGUCUU
This 342-nucleotide ribosomal RNA is filed under the name uncultured Thiobacillus sp. RNAcentral's name for it is "bacterial SSU rRNA". It matches the Rfam family "Bacterial small subunit ribosomal RNA", at positions 1036 to 1382 of the family's 1533-position model. Lineage: Bacteria; Pseudomonadati; Pseudomonadota; Betaproteobacteria; Nitrosomonadales; Thiobacillaceae. The record is from RNAcentral.